Non-coding RNA from Cinara cedri, 692 nucleotides. The record is from the annotation of a GenBank genome assembly. Lineage: Eukaryota; Metazoa; Arthropoda; Insecta; Hemiptera; Aphididae.
CACGUAUUUAUUAUUUUUUUAUUCUAGAUAAUUAGAUAUUAAGUUAUUAUCUUUUAUCUUUAUCUAAAUAUUUUAGAACUUUCUUAAUACAACAAUGCUCGGGAGUUUAUGACACUGUGAGUACGAAUCGCAUACCUUAACGAGAUGUAUAGCCAGUUUUGAGACUUAUCCGGACUUAAACAUACUAUUUUUAAUAGUUAUUCUAUUCCUUGGCUUAUUCGAAGCUGUUUAAGACUCAUUACCGCUUUCACUAUUCCUCGCCACACUUCUUCAUCCAUCGCUAAUGUUUUUCGAUCUCUGAUUCAUAGAAGCUUCUGAUGUCCGUUUUCUUGGUAUUUUUUGAUCUGGCUUCCGCAUUGUGACCCGGUUUACUAUUCUAUCCUCCACUCUCCACAAAUGGUCUGCCCAGUCUUCGAUUCCAUUGAUUUCAGCUAUCGGUUUUAUCUUUUAUGAGUUAUUUCGAAUAAUAUUUUAUCAUCUGUAUCUACAUCUAGACGAUUUCGGUGCAAUUAUAUUUUAUCUAAACAUCUACGUAAACGUCACAAAAUAGUUGUAUAGAUACGAUCGAAUAGGGACAAGUAUCGAGUAGUGAAUUUCAAAUAUUACUACGGGCGACAUCGAAACUGACGCGGUUCGCCGAACGAAAAUGGUUUUACGCGCGUAUGCAUGUGUAUGUAAUAUAAUGAUGUUGG